RNAcentral lists this ribosomal RNA (425 nucleotides) under uncultured bacterium. Its description in RNAcentral is "partial 16S ribosomal RNA". It matches the Rfam family "Bacterial small subunit ribosomal RNA", at positions 354 to 796 of the family's 1533-position model. The record is from RNAcentral.
GUGGGGAAUCUUGCGCAAUGGGCGAAAGCCUGACGCAGCCAUGCCGCGUGAAUGAUGAAGGUCUUAGGAUUGUAAAAUUCUUUCACCGGGGACGAUAAUGACGGUACCCGGAGAAGAAGCUCCGGCUAACUUCGCGCCAGCAGCCGCGGUAAUACGAAGGGGGCUAGCGUUGCUCGGAAUUACUGGGCGUAAAGGGCGCGUAGGCGGACAGCUUAGUCAGAGGUGAAAGCCCAGGGCUCAACCUUGGAAUUGCCUUUGAUACUGGCUGUCUUGAGUUUGGGAGAGGUGAGUGGAACGCCGAGUGUAGAGGUGAAAUUCGUAGAUAUUCGGAAGAACACCAGUGGCGAAGGCGACUCACUGGCCCAAUACUGACGCUGAGGCGCGAAAGCGUGGGGAGCAAACAGGAUUAGAUACCCCGGUAGUCC